UACGUAGGUGGCAAGCGUUGUCCGGAUUUACUGGGCGUAAAGAGCGCGUAGGCGGUCGUAUGAGUCGCGUGUGAAAGCCCCCGGCUCAACUGGGGAGGGUCACGCGAUACUGUUCGACUCGAAGGCAGGAGAGGGAAGCGGAAUUCCCGGUGUAGUGGUGAAAUGCGUAGAUAUCGGGAGGAACACCAGUGGCGAAGGCGGCUUCCUGGCCUGUUCUUGACGCUGAGGCGCGAAAGCUAGGGUAGCAAACGGG
This 253-nucleotide ribosomal RNA is filed under the name uncultured bacterium. RNAcentral's name for it is "partial 16S ribosomal RNA". It matches the Rfam family "Bacterial small subunit ribosomal RNA", at positions 524 to 776 of the family's 1533-position model. The record is from RNAcentral.